ACGGAGGGGGCGAGCGUUAUUCGGAAUUAUUGGGCGUAAAGGGCGCGUAGGCGGCUUGGCAAGUCAAAGGUGAAAUCCCUCGGCUUAACCGAGGAACUGCCCUCCAAACUGCUUUGCUUGAGGCCGGGAGAGGCGAGUGGAAUUCCCAGUGUAGCGGUGAAAUGCGUAGAUAUUGGGAGGAACACCAGUGGCGAAGGCGGCUCGCUGGACCGGUUCUGACGCUGAGACGCGAAAGCGUGGGUAGCAAACAGGA
RNAcentral lists this ribosomal RNA (253 nucleotides) under uncultured prokaryote. RNAcentral's name for it is "partial 16S ribosomal RNA". It matches the Rfam family "Bacterial small subunit ribosomal RNA", at positions 525 to 777 of the family's 1533-position model. The record is from RNAcentral.